This is a non-coding RNA of Rattus norvegicus (Norway rat), 2077 nucleotides long. Lineage: Eukaryota; Metazoa; Chordata; Mammalia; Rodentia; Muridae. The record is from RefSeq and is a predicted model, not a curated record.
UCCUCUGCAAAAGCAACAAAUGCUCCUCAGUGCUGAGCCAUCUCUCUCUGUUGUUUGUUUCUUGAGAACUCAGGCUAGCCUCACACUCACCUUAUAGCUGAGGGUGAUCUUGAACUUCUGACCCUCCUGCUUCUACCUCUUAGGUGAUGACAUCACAAUAACUAUUACUGUGCCUACAUGGUGCAGUGCUGGCGACCAAACCCAGGGCUUCUUGUAUGUGACAUAAGCUCUCAACUGAAUUACAUCCCUACAUACUCCUGACUCACUGUGGCUUAUGUGUACCUCAGACUCACAAUCCUCCUGCCUCAACCCCCCAAGUGCUAGGAUUACUGCGUUCAGCACACCUAACUUGUAUUUGUAUCCUUUUUAAGAUUUAUUUUAUUUUCAUGUAUGUGAGUACACUGUAGUUGUCUUCAGACACACCUGAAGAGGGCAUCGGAUUCCAUUACAAAUGGUUGUGAGCCACCAUGUGGUUGCUGGGAAUUGAACUCAGGACCUCUGGAAGAGCAGCCAGCGCUCUUAACCUCUGAGCCGUCUCUCCAGCCGCCCUUGUGUUUGUAUUUUUGUAUUUUCUUUCUGGCUGCUGCCUCCCUUUUUCUGUGCCCUUUCCCCUUUGCCCUUCCCACCCUCAGUCUCAACAUUCCCUCUUCUUCCCCCUCGUCUUUCUUACCGUUUCUUCUUUCUUUUCUUCCUGUGUCUCCCUAAGUCUGAACAAAGUUCUCUCUCACAUCCCAAACCUGCUCCUACCUCCUUUCUACCCCAGUUCCCAAUACCCCCUCCUCAACUGUACCCUGUGGUGUUUUGAGCAGGAAAGUCCUUCAUAGGCUCUGGUAUUUGAACACUUUGUCCCCAGUUGGUGGCGCUGUUGGGUAUGUUUAGGAGACCGAGACGUUGGUGGAGGCAGUGUCCCUGGGGGUGGGCUUUGCUUAUGACUUUGCCCUCCUCCUACUUUGCUCCGUCUGCCUUGUGGUUUUGGUUGAGGCAAUGAGCUCUCACACAAGAGCUGCCCGGGAUCAAGAUAGUAGACACUCCAGCAUGAAUAGAGAGACUUAUAAGAUCUCACCCCAUCUGAGGAGCUAUCGAAGGCUGCUGGUGAAGGGAGAGACGCCCCCCCUCUGGGGGUGUGGCCAAUGUGACCUGCAGGUCAUCCUCGGAGCCCACCCACCCCAUCUCAUCCUCUUGGGGCCUUCUCAGGUUCGAUGCAGGCUCUUGGUACAUCCAGGGCAAGGGCGACGGAAGGAUGGAGGACUUCAGACAAAGGAUGAGGGAUCGGUAUGGCUGAAGAGGAGAGAGCGGAGCCGCAAGUCAGACAGCUGAGCCGUGACUACUACUUCAGGACGUCAUUUGAGGGAAACCCUUACGGGGUUGGGGAUUUAACUCAGUGGUAGAGUGCUUGUCUAGCAAGCGCAAGGCCCUGGGUUUGGUCCCCAGCUCCGAAAAAAGAAAAAGAAGGAAAAAAAGAAAAAAAAACAAAACCCUUGCAUUGUUCAUAUUUUAACAAAUAUGUAAAGUUUACGACAUUACAGUGUACAGAUCUUGAGUAUUGAUAAAUUUUAAUGGCUUUUAAAUAUUGAAUUUAUUUAUUUUUAUUCUCCCAGCAAUCCACAGUUGCUCAUAACCAUCUGUAACUCCAGUCCCAGGGACUUUGAUGUUCUCUCCAAGCAACACAGGCAUGUAGUACCCUCACAUACACCUAAGGCGUCCAUACAUGUAGAAUAAAAAUAAUUAAAAAUAAAUCCAAUGUUUAAAGCCAAACCUGGGUCCUCCAAAAGAGCAGGAAGCAUUCCUAACCACAGAUCCAUCUCUUUUGCCCAAUUUUGACAAUUUUUUAGCUGUGUCAGGAAGAGUACAGCCAUCAUAUAAAACAUCUGUGGUCACAAGGGAACUCCCUUCUCUAGAAAUUCCCAUUCUGAGGAAACCCCAGGCACCGUAAAUCAGUUUUACCUAUGUUCUCUGUUUGCUUUUCUGUGUAUUUGUCCAUUUAUUUUUGAGACAGAGCCUCUCUUUGCAGCACUGGCUGUCCUGGAACUCAGAGAUCCACCUGUCUCUGCCUCUGGAGAGCUGGGAUUAAAGGUGU